CCCUUAGAUGUUCUGGGCCGCACGCGUGCUACACUGAGUAAUUCAAUGGGUAAGGGAACGCUAGAGCAUUACCUAAUCUUGAAAUUUGCUCGUGAUGGGGAUCGACGGUUGCAAUUUUCCGUCGUGAACGAGGAAUACCUUGUAGGCGCAUGUCAUCAUCAUGCGCCGAAUACGUCCCUGCCCUUUGUACACACCGCCCGUCGCUCCUACCGAUUGAGUGAUCCGGUGAGGCUCUGGGACCUGGACGGAAAGAGCGUUUCGCUUGUUCUGUUUGGGAAACUUGGUCGAACCUUAUCAUUUAGGGGAAGGAGAAGUCGUAACA
Molecule: ribosomal RNA, 322 nt
Filed under: uncultured eukaryote
Lineage: Eukaryota
Description: partial 18S ribosomal RNA
Rfam family: Eukaryotic small subunit ribosomal RNA
Source: RNAcentral